Molecule: ribosomal RNA, 399 nt
Filed under: Triticum aestivum (bread wheat)
Lineage: Eukaryota; Viridiplantae; Streptophyta; Magnoliopsida; Poales; Poaceae
Description: partial small subunit ribosomal RNA
Source: RNAcentral
AUGAUUGACUUUGGAGGCAUAUCUUCUAAUAUUAAAGAUGUUAUUUGGAAAAUCAAGGUUCCACCCAAUAUUCAUGUCUUUCUCUGGCUAGCUUACUAUAAUAAAUGCUUAACCAGAGAUAACCUAGCUAAGAGGAGACCUGUGGAAGACCCUACUUGUGUGUUCUGCAGUGAGAAAGAAUCGAUUAAACACUUAUUUUUUGAAUAUGUGGUAGCUGUCCAGAUCUGGAAAAUAAUUUUUGAAGGGUUGUGUAUCACCUUACCUACAUCUUUCCUAUCCUUGUCUGUUUUAUGGAAACAAAGAAAGAAAACAGAGGCCGUUAAUCUGGUCACAUCUGCUACCUCGUGGGGCUUAUGGCUUUUGCGCAAUGAUUUUGUUUUUCAGGGACGAAAAUGGUGA